GAUGAACGCUGGCGGCGUGCUUAACACAUGCAAGUCGAACGGAAAGGCCCAAGCUUGCUUGGGUACUCGAGUGGCGAACGGGUGAGUAACACGUGGGUGAUCUGCCCUGCACUUCGGGAUAAGCCUGGGAAACUGGGUCUAAUACCGGAUAGGACGAUGGUUUGGAUGCCAUUGUGGAAAGUUUUUUCGGUGUGGGAUGAGCUCGCGGCCUAUCAGCUUGUUGGUGGGGUAAUGGCCUACCAAGGCGUCGACGGGUAGCCGGCCGGAGAGGGGGUACGGCCACAUGGGGACGGAGAUACGGCCCAGACUCCUACGGGGGGCAGCAGUGGGGAAUAUUGAACAAUGGGCGCAAGCCUGAUGCAGCGACGCCGCGUGGGGGAUGACGGCUUUCGGGUUGUAAACUCCUUUCGCUAGGGACGAAGCGUUUUUGUGACGGUACCUGGAGAAGAAGCACCGGCUAACUACGUG
Molecule: ribosomal RNA, 468 nt
Filed under: uncultured bacterium
Lineage: Bacteria
Description: partial 16S ribosomal RNA
Rfam family: Bacterial small subunit ribosomal RNA
Source: RNAcentral